CAGUCGCCGCGGGAAUACGUAGGUGGCAAGCGUUGUCCGGAAUUAUUGGGCGUAAAGGGCUCGCAGGCGGUUUCUUAAGUCUGAUGUGAAAGCCCCCGGCUCAACCGGGGAGGGUCAUUGGAAACUGGGAAACUUGAGUGCAGAAGAGGAGAGUGGUGUUCCACGUGUAGCGGUGAAAUGCGUAGAUAUAUGGAGGAACACCAGUGGCGAAGGCGACUCUCUGGUCUGUAACUGACGCUGAGGAGCGAAAGCGUGGGGAGCGAACAGGAUUAGAGACCCCCGUAGUCCCUGUCUCUUAUAA
This 301-nucleotide ribosomal RNA is filed under the name uncultured bacterium. RNAcentral describes it as "partial 16S ribosomal RNA". It matches the Rfam family "Bacterial small subunit ribosomal RNA", at positions 509 to 809 of the family's 1533-position model. The record is from RNAcentral.